RNAcentral lists this non-coding RNA (21 nucleotides) under Caenorhabditis elegans. Lineage: Eukaryota; Metazoa; Nematoda; Chromadorea; Rhabditida; Rhabditidae. The record is from RNAcentral.
UAUCAAUUCAGAAAAUAAAAA